GUUCUGAACCUCUCGUCCUUGGCGAGCAUUCACAGUCCGCUGUCUCCAAACCACGUGCUCUGCCAAACACCCAAUCCUAUUCCACACCGUUAGCAAGCCUGUGUUCCUGUUGUACUAUGUAUUUAUGGUUGCCACUGUGUCUGAUUUGAUUUUUAUUGUUUUGGGGGUUUUUCCCCUGAUUUUACUGAACCCCGGGUGAGAGGCCACAGUGUUGCGGGUUGGUAGGCAAAUUGCAACAUUCUGGAAGAGGCCGGAGAGAGGCCUCUUCUUAUAAGAUUCCCAGACCAAAUUCUAGACCAAAGACACAUGCAGACCAAGUUCGCCAGGCCCUGCCUGGAAGGAAGGUCAGCCACCUCCCCGAGCCUGAUCCUCGCCAGUCUCCUGGGCACCUGUCUCCUGUCUGAGCCCCUGGCUCUUUUGUAUCCUCAGAACUCUGCUCUGUGAGCACCAUGUGUGAUGAUGUGACUUUUAUGUCUCUGCAUAAAGAAAACUUGUGAUUGGGGCUCAUGACUCUGGUCCGCCCUCCUCUGGGCACUAUGCCUGGGAUGGGUUGGAAAUUCUGAUGCUGGCAGCCAGAUCUACAAGGGAUGCAAGGGAGAUGUUUAAAGGAUGCUUUUAGGAGGCAGAAGUGGGUGAGGCCCCAGGUAAUCUCACCCAGGGAGAAGCUCCGCUGAGCUGGGCCUGGGCCCUAUCAUUCCCUGCUAUGGAGCCGCACAGUCAGUGAAGGACAGGCUUCCAGGGCCCCCCAGUCAGUGUCCUUGUGGUCAAAUGGGCCUGUUCUCCCUGAAGACCAAAGAGCAGCCUUUAUGAAAAAGGACAUGCUCUGUCCCCAGCAUUCAGAGCAGCACCCCACCCCCUGAUUAUCCUCUGGGGCCAUCUGGACUCCAAGCUGUGGCUCAGUGGGACAGGCACCCCUGGUUCACCUGCCCCUGCCCCCGCAGUCCUCUGAGUGAGACACUAGACCCCUGUUAAGCUGGGAAGCCAGUUGAGGUGUAGGAGGCAGAGCCCCUGGGACAGAAUUUUGCCUGAGGCCACAUGGGAAAUGCCCAUGCAGCAGGAAGUGGUCUUGGGUGAUUUCUGGACAAUACACACUCCCCCUCGGUACCUCUGGUCCCACAUUCUCACCCCAGAUCUCCAGGACACCCCAAGAUUGUGAGGAAGCACAAGAGGAGAGGGACACCCCCCACCUCAGCCUAGCACUGGGUGUUCUCAUAUCCCCAGGCGCCAGGGCACAGUGGUCAGCGGCCCAGCCAGCAUCUCCCAGAACCAUCCCUCGGGAUGGGACAGUGCUCUGGGCAGCCCGAGUGCUAAGGCAGACUGCCUCCCUUCCCCAUGCUGCAGACACAGGCCAGCAAAGCACCUGAGGCAGCUAGAGAGCCCAUCCAGCCCGCAGACCCAGUGUCAGGUGGCCCCAGGCCGGUCUGUCCACGUGGAUGCUGUAAACAUCACUGUGCAAAAGUCCAACAAGCACAAAACCACAGGAAAGCAAAGCUCAGAUACCAAGACCUGGAGAGGAGUGUGGGCAGCCAGAAGCCAGGAAACAGCAUUUCUCCCCAGUCCCUCCCUCUCAAUGCCUGGCUUUCAGACUGCAGUUCCCAAGCUGUGUUUCAUUGUUCUCCACGGUUUCACUACAGACAUGCUCCCUGAGGGCCUGGAGCAUCUUGGUGUAUGUCUGGCUUCAAACUGAGAUGUUGGCUCCAUUUUUUUUUUAACCCAGUUAAUUCUUGAAUCCCUAGCAACUGUGACUCUCAGCCCAAGAGAAAGCUGAGAACGUGGGUCUUGCCUCCUUCCAGAAAUAUGUCUGGCUCAUCAGGACUUUUUUUUUAAACUUCGAAUAUUUUUAAGAUAUUUUAAACUUUU
This 1860-nucleotide long non-coding RNA is filed under the name Sus scrofa (pig). RNAcentral describes it as "lncRNA (ENSSSCG00050069165.1)". Lineage: Eukaryota; Metazoa; Chordata; Mammalia; Artiodactyla; Suidae. The record is from RNAcentral.